This 162-nucleotide unclassified non-coding RNA is filed under the name soil metagenome. RNAcentral describes it as "partial internal transcribed spacer 1". The record is from RNAcentral.
CCGAGUUAUACAACUCCUCAAACCCCUGUGAACAUACCUAAACUUGUUGCCUUCGGCGGGAAUCAGCCGGCCCCUGUAAAAACGGGACGCCCCGCCAGAGGACCCCCUAAACUCUGUUUUCUAUAAUGUACUUUCUGAGUAAAACAAGCAUAAAUAAAUUCA